RNAcentral lists this ribosomal RNA (506 nucleotides) under uncultured bacterium. Its description in RNAcentral is "partial 16S ribosomal RNA". It matches the Rfam family "Bacterial small subunit ribosomal RNA", at positions 29 to 523 of the family's 1533-position model. The record is from RNAcentral.
AGUGAACGCUGGCGGUAGGCCUAACACAUGCAAGUCGAACGGCAGCACAGGAGAGCUUGCUCUCUGGGUGGCGAGUGGCGGACGGGUGAGGAAUACAUCGGAAUCUACUUUUUCGUGGGGGAUAACGUAGGGAAACUUACGCUAAUACCGCAUACGACCUACGGGUGAAAGCAGGGGAUCUUCGGACCUUGCGCGAUUGAAUGAGCCGAUGUCGGAUUAGCUAGUUGGCGGGGUAAAGGCCCACCAAGGCGACGAUCCGUAGCUGGUCUGAGAGGAUAAUCAGCCACACUGGAACUGAGACACGGUCCAGACACCUACGGGAGGCAGCAGUGGGGAAUAUUGGACAAUGGGCGCAAGCCUGAUCCAGCCAUACCGCGUGGGUGAAGAAGGCCUUCGGGUUGUAAAGCCCUUUUGUUGGGAAAGAAAUCCAGCUGGUUAAUACCCGGUUGGAAUGACGGUACCCAAAGAAUAAGCACCGGCUAACUUCGUGCCAGCCGCCGCCGUAA